This 76-nucleotide transfer RNA is filed under the name Diaphorina citri (Asian citrus psyllid). It matches the Rfam family "tRNA". Rfam says of the family: Transfer RNA (tRNA) molecules are approximately 80 nucleotides in length. Lineage: Eukaryota; Metazoa; Arthropoda; Insecta; Hemiptera; Psyllidae. The record is from Rfam by way of RNAcentral.
GCCUAGUUAGCUUAAUAGCUGGUAGUGCGUCUGCCUUGUAAGCGCUAGGCCGCGGGUUCGAUUCCCGCCCGGGGCG